Molecule: ribosomal RNA, 253 nt
Filed under: uncultured bacterium
Lineage: Bacteria
Description: partial 16S ribosomal RNA
Rfam family: Bacterial small subunit ribosomal RNA
Source: RNAcentral
UACGGAGGGUGCAAGCGUUGCUCGGAAUCAUUGGGCGUAAAGCGUACGCAGGCUGUUCGUUAAGUCGGGUGUGAAAGCCCGGGGCUCAACCCCGGAACGGCGCCCGAAACUGGCGAGCUUGAAUGCGGGAGAGGGAAGCGGAAUUCCUGGUGUAGAGGUGAAAUUCGUAGAUAUCUGGAGGAACACCGGUGGCGAAGGCGGCAUCCUGGACCGGUAUUGACGCUGAUGCGCGAAGGCCAGGGGAGCAAACGGG